This 441-nucleotide ribosomal RNA is filed under the name uncultured bacterium. RNAcentral's name for it is "partial 16S ribosomal RNA". It matches the Rfam family "Bacterial small subunit ribosomal RNA", at positions 338 to 795 of the family's 1533-position model. The record is from RNAcentral.
CCUACGGGUGGCAGCAGUCGGGAAUAUUGCGCAAUGGAGGAAACUCUGACGCAGUGACGCCGCGUGCAUGAAGAAGGUUUUCGGAUUGUAAACUGCUUUAGACAGGGAAGAAAAAAGACUGUUCCUGUAGAAUAAGCUCCGGCUAACUACGUGCCAGCAGCCGCGGUAAUACGGAGGGAGCAAGCGUUAUUCGGAUUUAUUGGGUGUAAGGGGUUCGUAGACGGUGAAGUAAGUUAGUGGUGAAAUCCCUGGGAUUAACGGAGGAACUGCAACUGAAACUACUUCCCUUGAGUACUGGAGAGGAAAGUAGAAUUCCAGGGGUAGCGGUGAAAUGCGUAGAGAUUAGGAGGAACACCAGUGGCGAAGGCGACUUUCUGGACAGUAACUGACGUUGAGGUGCGAAAGUGUGGGGAGCAAACAGGAUUAGAUACCCGUGUAGUC